GCCCAGGUGGCGGAAUUGGUAGACGCGCUAGUUUGAGGGGCUAGUCGGGUAACACCGGUGCAGGUUCGAGUCCUGUCCUGGGCA
This 84-nucleotide transfer RNA is filed under the name Candidatus Eremiobacter antarcticus. RNAcentral describes it as "tRNA-Leu". It matches the Rfam family "tRNA". From Rfam's summary of the family: Transfer RNA (tRNA) molecules are approximately 80 nucleotides in length. Lineage: Bacteria; Bacillati; Vulcanimicrobiota; Vulcanimicrobiia; Candidatus Eremiobacterales; Candidatus Eremiobacteraceae. RNAcentral also lists the same sequence under 4 other names. The record is from RNAcentral.